UACGGAGGGUGCAAGCGUUAUCCGGAUUCACUGGGUUUAAAGGGUGUGUAGGCGGACAGUUAAGUCAGCGGUGAAAUCUCCGGGCUCAACCCGGAAACUGCCAUUGAUACUAUCUGUCUUGAAUAUUGUUGAGGUGGGCGGAAUAUGUCAUGUAGCGGUGAAAUGCUUAGAUAUGACAUAGAACACCGAUUGCGAAGGCAGCUCACUAAACAAUGAUUGACGCUGAGGCACGAAAGCGUGGGGAUCAAACAGG
This 253-nucleotide ribosomal RNA is filed under the name uncultured bacterium. RNAcentral's name for it is "partial 16S ribosomal RNA". It matches the Rfam family "Bacterial small subunit ribosomal RNA", at positions 524 to 776 of the family's 1533-position model. RNAcentral also lists the same sequence under 1 other name. The record is from RNAcentral.